UAUUUAAAGUCUUACCUGCCCAAUGAUUUUUUAAUGGCCGCGGUAUUUUGACCGUGCAAAGGUAGCAUAAUCAUUUGUUCUUUAAUUGUGAACUUGUAUGAAGGGUUUGACGAGAAGUUUUCUGUCUCUUUUUAAUUAAUUGAAUUUUAUUUUUGAGUGAAAAAGCUUAAAUUUUUUAAAUAGACGAGAAGACCCUAUAGAGUUUAAUUUGAGUUUAAGUUAUUUAAUUUAAUUAGAAUUUUGUUGGGGUGAUUGAAAAAUUUACUAAACUUUUUUUGGUUUAAAUAUUAAUGAAUAGAUUAUUGAUCCAGUUUUACUGAUUAUAAGAUUAAAUUACCUUAGGGAUAACAGCGUUAUUUUUCUUGAUAGUUCAUAUUGAAAGGAAAGUUUGCGACCUCGAUGUUGGAUUAAAAAUAAUAACUGGUGUAGUAGCUAGUUAAUUAGGUCUGUUCGACCUUUAAAAUUUU
Molecule: ribosomal RNA, 467 nt
Filed under: Megorama simplex
Lineage: Eukaryota; Metazoa; Arthropoda; Insecta; Coleoptera; Ptinidae
Description: partial 16S ribosomal RNA
Rfam family: Bacterial large subunit ribosomal RNA
Source: RNAcentral